AGUAAAAGUCGUAACAAGGUCUCCGUUGGUGAACCAGCGGAGGGAUCAUUGCUGGAACUGUGUCCGCAAGGACACAACCCCAGAUACCCUUUGUGAACUUAUUCUUAUAUCGUUGCCUCGGCGCCUGAGCUGGGGGCUUCUUUCCAAGGAGCUCUCCCAUGGUCUCUCGGGACGAUGGAGCAAGCCCGCCGGCGGCCCUUCUAAACUCUUGUUUUUAUUACGUAUCUCUUCUGAGUUAUUCAAAACAAAAUGAAUCAAAACUUUCAACAACGGAUCUCUUGGUUCUGGCAUCGAUGAAGAACGCAGCGAAAUGCGAUAAGUAAUGUGAAUUGCAGAAUUCAGUGAAUCAUCGAAUCUUUGAACGCACAUUGCGCCCGCUGGAAUUCCAGCGGGCAUGCCUGUUCGAGCGUCAUUUCACCCCUCAAGCCUUGCUUGGUGUUGGAGCACUACCGUUUGUAUAAAGCGGUAGGCUCUGAAAUUCAGUGGCGGGCUCGCUAAGACUCUGAGCGUAGUAGUUUAUCACCUCGCUUUGGAAGGAUUAGCGGUGCUCUUGCCGUAAAACCCCCCAACUUCUGAAUUUUGACCUCGGAUCAGGUAGGAAUACCCGCUGAACUUAAGCAUAUCAAUAAGCGGAGGAAAAGAAACCAACAGGGAUUGCCCCAGUAACG
RNAcentral lists this ribosomal RNA (668 nucleotides) under uncultured fungus. RNAcentral describes it as "eukaryotic LSU rRNA". The stretch from base 259 to 412 matches the Rfam family "5.8S ribosomal RNA". Lineage: Eukaryota; Fungi. The record is from RNAcentral.